Saprospiraceae bacterium is the source of this 85-nucleotide transfer RNA. It matches the Rfam family "tRNA". Rfam says of the family: Transfer RNA (tRNA) molecules are approximately 80 nucleotides in length. NCBI's taxonomy places the organism in Bacteria, Pseudomonadati, Bacteroidota, Saprospiria, Saprospirales, Saprospiraceae. The record is from Rfam.
GGAGGAGUGGCAGAGCGGUUGAAUGCACCGGUCUUGAAAACCGGCAUGGGUCACACCAUCGGGGGUUCGAAUCCCUCCUCCUCCG